CGUUCCACAAUUUGAAGUUAACAAUUCCAAGUCAUAUAGGUUAAAAGUCAUGCGAAGUAAAGAGGGUAGAGUAAGACCAAUCAGUCAGAGGUUGAUCAAACUUGUACAAACAGUUGACUGCAGUUUUCUCUCUCAGUGGGAAAAAUAUGGACUCUCAUUUCUCGAGGUGCCACAAGUUCAAAGACACAACUGUCAUCCAUCUCCAGCUUGUUAUCAACUGCAAAUCUUCGCCAACCUUUGGAGAAAACCUUGUUGGUGUCAGUGUAUAGCAAAGUCACCUCCCAAGAUUUCUCUUUUGAAGUCCAGAAGGUGAAUUCUGUUCUGGCUUGAGGAAGAUGUGCAUUGAGAAAAGAUGUGGGGAUGGUCUGUAGGAAUGACAAAUUCUACUUAAUAUGCUUGUCAUGGUUAAAAUUCCGAAAGACAAACCUUUGAGGUUGAAAUAUGCUUACCAGUAGGAAUGGGAUAUCCACAUUACACCUUGUAAUGCAAUGCUUGAAAUGGGGGAAGUUGGAGGUGAAAUCUUUAGCCGCUUUACAAAGCUUUGCUGUAAUUUUUCUACCUGCUGGCCGCUUCCUCGAGGAAGAGGCUAAAUCUUUUUCCUCUGCUGAUUUUUUCUUAGCCUUCCCUCCAAUUUGAACUUGUGAUUUGGUCUUCACCAUAUCAGUAACGUCCAUUUCUUCUUCCUUAAUUUUUUCAGUCGAGUCUUGGUGCAUCCGGGUGAUUGAAACACAGUUCCUCUCGCAUCCACUUUUCUCAAAAAUUUGUACAUCAAAACACAUAUUGCCGUUGUAUCUGAGCACCAAGAAAUCCUUGUCCCCCAAGCAGUGAUUUUGGUAAAACUGCUGCCAACCAUGCUGCAUGAUUGUGCUUCUGUCCUGCUUGCACAUAGUAAUCUUCCAAUAAUCACCGGAAGGACCCCUCAGAACUGCUCUAGUGGGGAUUCUUUUUGGUAGAUGGGUUCUAACAAAAUGUGGUGGAAUUUCCUGGAAUAAAUUUGAGAGAGAAGUUUAAACAGCCAUGGACUGGAAAAGCAUAUAUUCAAUAUUGUGCAAAUCAUACAACCAUGUUUGAUGGACCCUUUCUAGGAUAUUUAAUAUUCAUAUAGAUCCUGUUGUAUCCUUAACUUUAUUGUAGAAUUCAAACUUUAUUAGGACUAUGCCUUUUUAACUGUUAUACCAAACACAAUCUUUCUGUCAUAUGAACCAGCAGUGCAUUUCUUCACCCACCCCUGAAACCCCCCCUACUCUUACCUUUCAUCAGUCAUUACCCAAUUCUAGGAUUACUCAAUCAAAACCUUAUCAGACUAGCCAUCAAAAUCUUAAAUGAACUUUUCUCAGUUUUCCUUUAAUUUUAUCAACAAAAAACAGACUGCAGCAGGUCUCAAAUUCAAAUUUAAAUAAAAACUUGAACAACAUUAUGUAAAACAGAAAAGAGAGGAGAAAGAAAGAAAACUUACAAAGAAAGACAUAUAAAAAACCAAAUCCAUUAUAUAUAUCCAUCAUCCUCUAAUUUCCAAGGCUAAACUUUCCCACAAACAUAAAAGAACAGAGCAGUUCGUAUGUAUAAAGGCUUGCAUAGUGCUUGUCUGCAACUCUAAAUAAACAAAUCACAGACAGUUUAAACAAACAACAGAAUGAAGAAUCAGAAACAUAGGAAAAAAGGCUGUUUUCCUUGGUAAAGUCUGCAGAGAAAAUGAAAGACAGAACAAGAAGGAAAAAUGCAGCAAACUUAUACUACAUCUUUCAUGUGCAAAAGCAUACAUAUACACAGGUCAUUUGCUUACAAAUGAACACAAAUAUCUCAGCAUUAAGUCAUCACUUCUGCUGGUAGUGUCGGGUAGCAUUAGCUACUCCCACUAACUGCUGAAUUUUUUUUUUUUUGAAAGUUGUUGUUCAUUCCAUAACAGAGGAUACUAAAGGUUCACCUCUGGGAGAAGUACAAACAUGAUUAAAGUCUGUUACUCACCUAUUUGGGGAUAACAGCCCUUAAUCACUACAUAGCCAAUCCCUUAAGGAUACAUCCAGAGAGAACACACACAAGCCUGCAGUACCCUUCCCAGAAAAAAACAGAGUCCAUCCUGUACCUUUCCAAAAGAAAAACCCAAGCAAAUCCCGCCACCCUCAAAAACUACUAGGUGGACAGGAUCAUAAACUGUACACAAUAUUCCACAACACCACCUCCCUAACGACCUAACAGGACAAUGGGUUAGCCACACAAAACAAGCUUACCCCUUAACCGACCUCAUGCCCCAGGUGGCUGCAUCAAAAAAGAACCCCUGGACUGUAGCAUACACAAACUGUGGUAUCCCUUCAAGAGGAGAGCCAUCAGCACCUUCUAUACAUAUCCUAGACCAUAUCCACCACUGAACCCCCAGUUACAAAAAGCAGUAGCUUCAAUGUCAUCAUAUCCUUUCCAUGGCCAGAAGCGAGGCUUCAUCCACAACCCCUCAGUAGAACGCAAGAACUUAGACACAGAACUUCCCCGACAUCCACCACAAUCCAAAAAACUUUGAACCCUCAUAGUGUCUCCCAAGAAUUAACCACUAAAACAAGUAUUAGGCAGACUAAACUUGCUCAGUUGUCUGCUAUGCUGCGGAAACCAGAACCAAAAACAAAGGCAUCGAACCAGACAUGUAUUUCAACUAGAAGAGUUAAAUAUUCAAAAACAAUCUCAAUUCUAACAGCAACCAAAAAAAAAGGACAGAGAAAUCACCAGGCUACGGCUAGCGUCACCCUUAUGUAGGAUGAACAUGGAGAAGGAUGGUCGGUUGUCGUGAUCCGGAAGAUUGCUUUCCACACCCUUUGAGCUCUUAUUCACCAUUUUCUUCUUUGACUCCAAAUGGCUUUGCAUUUUCUUUCUCUGGAACAAAAGGGGUUACAAAACAAAGCUAACUUUGUCAAAACAGAUUCCUCGUUCAAACUUUAUCUCUGGUUUCUAGUUUGUUAUGUUUUUAAAGCUUUCUCUCCAUUUUCAGUCCCAACUAUUUCCUCGUGUAACAAAGUUUUUCCAAAGUAUUAGAGGAACAAACGUUUUAUCAGAAAUAUAUCAAGUUAGCUUGCAAGAAUUAAAUGAAUAAUCUGGUGGUGAUAGAAGCAGUUAAUCCAACUUUCUUCAAUUAUCGAGUUCUGAGCUAUAACUCUGAAUUUUUUAGUGUUCUGACAGAAUUUUCAGAACAGCAUGCAUAUAUAGUUCUUCAGCAACAACUCUUUUUUGAGGUCCAUGCCAAAAGUACACUUAAAAUGGAAUAAAGACAAGCAUUGUUGACAUCUUCAGAUGGGAUUCAAAGCAACUGGUCAUAUAUUCAAACCUUAAGGGACCAAAAAAAAAAAAAAAAAAAAAAAAAAAAAACAUCAACUUGACCUAAAAGUGGAACCGAGUUUUUAUCACAUUCCCCCUACUCACUCACUCACUGAGUUUUAAUCUCGCCUGCUUAACCCAAGCACCCACCGUGUGUCCCACCAACUCCCCUGCUUGUUUUUUAGUGGUUUUUUUUUUCCUUUUUUGUGCUGACCCACCAACUCACCAUCGGAAGUCAAGCAUAGUUUUACAUCAUUUUAAGGAAUAUUCAAUUUUAAUUGUAAUUUUCCAUUGCCAGUACUUCAACAACAAUCAAGUUAUAUAAUAAUUUACAUAAAAAAAUUAUAAAAAGUAUGUUUAUGUUGAAAAUUGUAAGGAGAGUGCAACCUUCUCUAUAGCUAUCCUCAAUCUACUACUAGCAUUAUAAUUAAACAUGAGAAUUCGACAGCAUAACUUGACAUAAUAAAUCAGUAAUUCUAAUAAUAGUACAAUGCAAGAUCAAUUAUAUCCCGAGUUUUGACAAAGACUGAAUAAGUUUUUACUCUGUUAGCACAUUUUUUCCCCUUAAAGAUGAAAAAGAUGGGCAUUUAAGUUACAAUAAGUAUUAGUACUUGGUGAGAAAAUUGUUUAUUAUGGGCAAAAGUGUCAACCCCAUCAAUUAUUCAAUAUUUCAUUAUUUUUUAUUAAAAAUAUUUGGUAAAAGACAGAUUCAUGGUGAGUUUGGUUGGAACUCAUUUUUAGGUGACUGGGUCGAGUCAGCAAGAGAAAGAAGGGGAGAGCACUGAGUCAAAGGUUGGCAAAAGAAGACAGUGUCGUCCUGAGUCGUGUGACCCGAGCAAUUCUCUCAGCAAAGGGGGAUCCUUUUAUUUAUUCCAUUCGUCUAGGACAAAGACUUUUGGACACGUGUCAAGCCAGGGUGGAUGGGGACCACGACCAGAAUCACAUGCACAGCAAAAUGAAGAAAAGCAAGAAGCGACCUUUUUAUUACACCUUCAUGACUUCAUUGCUCCCUUACUGCCUGAAGUUGUUGGGCCUCUAAAUCUCAACCAAUCAAAUAAUUCAUUCAUCUUUGUUUUUUUCUGCUCUUCCAAAUCAACCCACACUUUGGAUUACUUAGGCUUAAAAUCUUCUCAAUUCUUCAUCAUAUGCUAUGGUGAUGCAUUUGUUGGUCCCCCAACUUCUGUUUAUGAUGGCAUCAAUUUUUAUGUUUUGCAGAGUGAUGUUAAUGCAAAUAAAAAUACCCAACAGAGUAGUGGUUUAAUAUGAGCUUUCAGUUUGUAUAUGCAUAGGGUUUCCUCAAUAAAUAUAUCAAUAUAUCCUGGAAAGAAAAUUUAUUGCAUGGAAUCAAUGAUGACAUGUAAUCUGGGUAAAGCCUUUGAUAAUUUGGGAAAAGAAAGGGAAUAUUUGCUUUUUAUUCAUAAUAAUGAUCUUGAUAUAGGGCAAUUAAAACAAACUAGUAUAUUAAAGUUGUUAAAUUGUUGAAACAAGGGAGGCAAAACGGUAAAAGAUAUUUGACAGUUGCAAAGCUGCAAUCAUGCAUGGAAGAGAUGGUUCUUGGACGUACGUUCCACAAUUUGAAGUUAACAAUUCCAAGUCAUAUAGGUUAAAAGUCAUGCGAAGUAAAGAGGGUAGAGUAAGACCAAUCAGUCAGAGGUUGAUCAAACUUGUACAAACAGUUGACUGCAGUUUUCUCUCUCAGUGGGAAAAAUAUGGACUCUCAUUUCUCGAGGUGCCACAAGUUCAAAGACACAACUGUCAUCCAUCUCCAGCUUGUUAUCAACUGCAAAUCUUCGCCAACCUUUGGAGAAAACCUUGUUGGUGUCAG
RNAcentral lists this long non-coding RNA (5122 nucleotides) under Theobroma cacao (cacao). RNAcentral describes it as "long non-coding RNA (TCAC_LNC000747)". The record is from RNAcentral. Lineage: Eukaryota; Viridiplantae; Streptophyta; Magnoliopsida; Malvales; Malvaceae.